GUACCGGACGGGAGUUAUACCGCAGUGACCCAUAGUUGUACAUCGAAGGAGAGCGACGACAGAUGUGCAGACGGUGC
RNAcentral lists this non-coding RNA (77 nucleotides) under unclassified sequences. RNAcentral describes it as "CyVA-1 RNA". It matches the Rfam family "CyVA-1 RNA". From Rfam's summary of the family: Cyanobacteria, Acidobacteria (1 example), Verrucomicrobia (1 example). Big IGRs The record is from Rfam by way of RNAcentral.